UACGUUAAGCGCCAUGUUCAGUGACUGACACUACAUUUACCUUUUGGACUGGUCAAUCACUGGUGCUGCCAGCAUACUGAAAUCAGAUAGCGUGGCAUAAACAGGACGACAAAAGGGGCUUCCACUUAGUGUUCACAUUUUAGGAUAAUCUGGAUUAAUUUUAGACUACCAGACUUUCAGAAGUUAACAGAUUAUGUUGUUUCAUACAGUAUUAAAACUAGAAAUUCAAAUGAGAUUUUUUUGGGGGGAUUCUAAGCUUUUGAAAAGGCCUUUAAAAUUUAUAUUUCUAAAUGACUGCAGUAGACUCAAGUUUCCAAUAUAUAACGGCUGUUACUUAGAAUUAACAAAAAGUUACUAGAAAACUUGAAUACAAAUAUUUUUAACUGGUUAAGGAAAUCUUCAUUACAGACUUCUUUCUUUGUUUAGUGGGAAGUAAUUUAGUUUCAGGCUACAGAGAAGAAACGGAGAGAAAGAUAAUUUUGGAAUUCUAAAGAUCACAAAGGUUCCAAUUGUGUAACAUUUCCGGAGGCUUAAAAAGGUAACAAGAAUUUUUCCUUUUCAUUCAACCUCCAUCUUUUUAUAUACAAGAAUAAUUACAAACUUUAUAAUUGUUAAGUAUUAAAACUAGUACCAAGUCUUAACUGCAAAAAUAUAUACUCUAAAGUUAGUGCAAAAGAUCCAUUUUUAAGGUAAUGAGAACUGUACAUAAUUUUCUUUCACAAUAAAUUGAAACUAGAAUUCUAUAAAGGUCAGAUUAACCCUAAAUGAUGAAAGACUGGCACAGCAACAAGAUGUAAAAGAUUAUACCAGAUAGAUUUGUGCUGUCACCUACCAGUAAAUAAUUUGUACCCAGUGAUUUAGUCGUAUGUAUAAUUACUGUAAAACACACAACCACUGGCAUUUUACACCACGCAGAGUUAAGGCAAUCUUGCUGCUCCUAAGGGCUUUUAACAAAAGGCAUAAUUGUCAGGCAUGUGAGGUCAUGAUUUUCUUAAAUCUGGCAAACAAGCACAAUAGUUUUGUAUUGACUUAAUUGAUUUAUCCUAAAAAAAACUAUUUACAAAUGCACAAAUAAACAUACAAAUCUAUAUAUUUUACAAGAAUAAAACUGCAGUGCAAGUUUAUCCCACAGGUUUUAAAAAGUGACCAAUAACCAUUUACUGGGCCUGAAACAAUUUCUGGUCCAGGCUAUACAUACGGCACUUUUAAGGAUGUUCAAAUUUUGUGAAAUUAAAGCCAAUUUCAUUUAAACUGACUGAUGUAUAAUAUUAAAUUAUAAAGCUAUUGUAUAUCAACAUGCUAUUGGGAAGUGGAUGGAAGUAACUGGAUAUUCAAGAUAAAAUCCAUUAAGGAAAAUAUUACAAAAUAUGAAGGGUGAAGAUAAAUGUAUUAAAUUUAAAAGUCAGGCAAGGUGGCUGUCAGCAGACUUCAGGUAAUUUUGAAAUUAAUGACUACAGGUGAGUUUACUAGUAGUCACUUAGACCCCUUUUGGAAAACUGCAAUACAUAAUCUAUAAAUUUUAAUAAAUAUAAUAUGGCUGUAUAUACGCAUACAUACACAGCCACAUUCACACAGAGUUUGCUCUUAAAACAUUUCAUUUGUAUUAGGGUUAGCCAAGUUUAAUUUGUCAUUCCCCAAACCCAGUUAGCUUCAAAUAUAAACAAUGCCAAUGACGAAUGCAAUUUCUCAUCAAACUGCAAAUAUUGAGAAAUCCAGACGGUUUUCAGAAGAGGCAGAUACACCGUUAAGAAUAAACCCUGGGGCAUUUUAAUUGUAUUUUCUUAUUUCUAGGUGAUUUGGUAUGUUAGGUUUCAUAUGUUGUCCCAUAAAUAGUUAGACAAUUUUGGUUUUCACCAAUUCUUAGCAUUUGGAACAAACCUUUAAAGUUUUCAGACUGAGUCUAUUCCCCCCAGCAUUGUGUAUCUGAAAUGUAGUUUAAAUGAGAGGGGCUCCAAAACACUUCCUGCACCAUUCCACACUGACACUUGGUGGAAUAUCAAUUUUCUGCAACUUUUCAAGGACUUCUGAAGAUAGACUAUUGUACGCAAGUCCAUAUUCAUUAUCAAAAGCCUCUGAAAAAGACAAUUUCAAAAAAUGCAGUUAUAAUGUGUUAAAGAAUUUAUGCAUUUAUAUAUGGUAGUCCAAUCAUAUAUACACACACACCACAUAAUCAAAAGUAGAAGUCUUUCUAAAGGCAAGUAGAAUUUUAAAAUUACUUUAGGAAAUAAAAUUACUUGAAAAUAAAGCGUAAAAUUACAUUUGGAAAUAGUAAAAUGUAAGGAAACAGAAAAUAGUGCUCUAAUCAACUUACCAAUAUCAAUAUUCUCUCUUCCAAGAGAUACUAAUGAUAAGAAGAGGAUUUCUCUGUAUAAACUCCUAUAAAACAAAUAUUUUUAGAGUCAAUAGGCUAAAAGUAUAGAAAUAAAUAUGUGAAGGCAUUUUUAACUGUUUAAAAAAAAAUUAAGUUCUCUGGUCUAACAAUGUCCUAGUUUUGAUAUGUGGCACAGUUAUGAGAUGGCACCUUUGGGAGAAGGGUUCUUAACUAUUUUUACAACUACUUCCUUCGUAUAUCUAUUUAAGUU
Pipistrellus kuhlii (Kuhl's pipistrelle) is the source of this 2582-nucleotide long non-coding RNA. RefSeq lists it as uncharacterized. The transcript has 2 exons. The record is from RefSeq and is a predicted model, not a curated record. NCBI's taxonomy places the organism in Eukaryota, Metazoa, Chordata, Mammalia, Chiroptera, Vespertilionidae.